This 420-nucleotide long non-coding RNA is filed under the name Phoenix dactylifera (date palm). RNAcentral's name for it is "long non-coding RNA (PDAC_LNC008085)". The record is from RNAcentral. Lineage: Eukaryota; Viridiplantae; Streptophyta; Magnoliopsida; Arecales; Arecaceae.
CAACUUCUGGACUCAGAUACUUAAGGUAUGGUUUUAAACGAUGUCCAUUGACUUGAAAGGACCUACCAUCCUUGGUAUUGCAUAUUACUAUUGCACCAUGCGGAUGCACUUUCUCUACCAUGUAUGGGCCAGUCCAGCGAGAUUUAAGUUUUUCAGGAAAUAGAUGUAAUCGAGAGUCUUAUAGAAGGAUUUUUUGUCCUUGGUGAAAUUCCAUACGAAUGAUCAUUUUAUCAUGCAUGAUCUUCAUGCGAUCUUUGUACUUCUUGGCACACUCGUAAGCAUCGUUUAUAAUUUCUUCAAGCUCAUCGAGUUGAAGCUUCCUAUGUUCUCCCGCUUUGUCAAGAUCGAAAUUUAAAUUUUUAAUCGCCCAAUAGGCCCUGUGCUCUAACUCGAUAGGUAAAUGGCAGGCCUUGCCAUAGA